AUCUAUAGCCAUACCACCCUGAACGCACCCAAUCUCAUCUGAUCUUGGAAGCUAAGCAGGGUCUGGCCUAGUUAGUACUUGGAUGGGAGACCUCCUGGAAAUACUAGGUGCUGUAGGCU
This is a ribosomal RNA of Cebus imitator (Panamanian white-faced capuchin), 119 nucleotides long. The record is from Ensembl. NCBI's taxonomy places the organism in Eukaryota, Metazoa, Chordata, Mammalia, Primates, Cebidae.